RNAcentral lists this ribosomal RNA (462 nucleotides) under uncultured bacterium. Its description in RNAcentral is "partial 16S ribosomal RNA". It matches the Rfam family "Bacterial small subunit ribosomal RNA", at positions 28 to 506 of the family's 1533-position model. The record is from RNAcentral.
GAUGAACGCUGACAGAAUGCUUAACACAUGCAAGUCUUUGGCGAAUCUGUGCUUGCACAGGCUAGCCAAGGCGGACGGGUGAGUAACGCGUAAAGAACUUGCCCUGCAGACAGGGAUAACAGACGGAAACGACUGAUAACACCUGAUACAGUUGCCGGCACGCAUGUGCCUGGCAAUGAAAAGAGAUACUGCAGGAGAGCUUUGCGUCCUAUUAGCUUGUUGGUGAGGUGACGGCUCACCAAGGCGAUGAUAGGUAGCCGGCCUGAGAGGGUGAACGGCCACAAGGGGACUGAGAUACGGCCCUUACUCCUACGGGAGGCAGCAGUGGGGAAUAUUGGACAAUGGGGGCAACCCUGAUCCAGCAAUUCUGUGUGCACGAAGAAGGUUUUCGGAUUGUAAAGUGCUUUCAGCAGGGAAGAAGAAAGUGACGGUACCUGCAGAAGAAGCGACGGCUAAAUACGU